ACUCGGUCUCUCUUUCCCUUCCCUCAACACCGAACACCUUCUUCCUUCAUCUAGCGCUACGCCUCGGUGAUCCGGCGACAUGCAAUCACGUCAUCACCUUCCUCUCUCCAUCAUAUACUCAACCAUCUCAGAAAAGCCUGCACGUGAUUUCAUUCUCUAGCAAAUCGGAGAAGGCGGUAGUGAGAUGUCUUCAAUGAUUUUCUGGCAAAUCUGGCAACUCUGGCAAGCUUCUUUGGUCACUCUCUGAUCACUUUUCUGGGUUUGGCCACUGUGACGCCGUCGUCCUCCUAGCAUCGAUUUGGACCUCCGACGAGCAUCUCAGUCCAAGCUAGUCCUCCUAAACUCGUAUUUUUGAGCCCAACUCUCUUCCUCUUGUUUUGGCUUAUUUCUCCUACGAAUUCCUGUGAUUUGAGUUCAACUUCUUUCUUUCUCUUUUUCUGUUUUGUCCCGUCGUGAAACCACCAUCUUGGCAACCUUCAUGGUUCCUGGUUUGGACAAGUUUUGGAGCUGUAAUAAAAUGGGAAAGAGCAGCAGCUUGGUUUGGAAUCGGAAGAGGAGCAUCAGCCUCGGCUCUGCAUUUUUGACUUGUGGAGAAUUGAUGCUACGAGAUCGAGCAGUGGAGCAACAACAACAGCUACUUCUAUUGAUUUGGAUAACGGCUGGGAUUCUGCAUGUCAUUCCAGGUUGAGAAUAUAUUCGUCAUUGGCCACAGUAGUGCGGGAAUUGAGAACCUGAUGACAAUGCAAGAUAAUAGUGAUUCAAGUAGCUUUACUCAUAGAUGGGUUGUUAAUGCUAAAGCCGCUAAAUUAAGAACAAAAGCUGAUACGCUACACCUUAGCAUUGAUCAGCAAUGCAGAUACUGCCAGUGAUGAAACAAGUACUGUUAAAGACUUGGAGAUAGAAGAAGCUCUAGAAGGAAGAUGUUUUGAAGAAGAGAAAGAGUAGAAAAAUAUAAUAAUAAAACAAUACCCAUAUACCCAAGGGCAUUUGAGGAAGUUAAAAAAUAUUUGACGACCAAUUUAGACGGAGAGAGACGGAAUGGACCAAUUGGUCGAAAAUUAAAAUUAGAAUGAGUGAUCGGUUGAAAUUGAAAAUAUGAAGAGUAAACUAUCGAGACCCUAAAAAUAUAGGGAGUGACCAGUAUUUUGUCAUUUUUUUAAUUACCAAUGUCGAAAUAGAUCUUUUUAUGAUCUCCCCUAUUUAUUAACACGUUUUUUAGCAUUUAUUCGCUUUCUUAAGUUAGUUUGUAUGUGAGGUGGCAUGUCACCUCUUGUAUUUGAUCAUUGUGGUCGUGCAUGGCUUAAUGUCAAAUGAAGUUAAUUUAUUCCCCUAAAAAAAGUAAAAAAGGAAAGAUCUGACAACAGAAAUUGAGUUUUGAUAGAUCUAACAACAAAGGUCCUUUGGAAUUUAAUUGAAGUAACAUAAUAUUGGUUUAACCACAGGCAAAUAAUCUGAGCCAUCGUAAUU
This is a long non-coding RNA of Argentina anserina (silverweed cinquefoil), 1467 nucleotides long. RefSeq lists it as uncharacterized. The transcript is spliced from 5 exons. The record is from RefSeq and is a predicted model, not a curated record. NCBI's taxonomy places the organism in Eukaryota, Viridiplantae, Streptophyta, Magnoliopsida, Rosales, Rosaceae.